ACCAGAGUUAUUUACGACGGCUCCAUCCCUUUCAUUCCCAAAGCCAUUUCCAAUGCAGGGUUGAAGGCUUCACAAAUUGACUUUUAUGAAAUUAAUGAAGCUUUUGCGGUUGUGGCUCUUGCAAACCAAAAACUUCUUGGACUAAAUUCGGAAAAAGUAAAUGUACGUGGUGGAGCUGUUGCACUGGGUCAUCCUCUCGAUUGCAGUGGUGGUCGCAUUUUGGUGACGC
Molecule: long non-coding RNA, 229 nt
Organism: Vigna angularis (adzuki bean)
Lineage: Eukaryota; Viridiplantae; Streptophyta; Magnoliopsida; Fabales; Fabaceae
Exons: 3
Source: RefSeq, a predicted model, not a curated record